Molecule: long non-coding RNA, 2572 nt
Organism: Scophthalmus maximus (turbot)
Lineage: Eukaryota; Metazoa; Chordata; Actinopteri; Pleuronectiformes; Scophthalmidae
Exons: 3
Source: RefSeq, a predicted model, not a curated record
GGAACAAGAAGACCUUCGGGCCUCUCAGGCUCAGAGCAGCUGCUGCUGCUGCUGCUGCUGCUGCUGGAGCUCGACUCCGCCUCCGACUCGUAGUCCACCUCCGGACCGGAGUCUUCGGCCGAGGAGCUGGACUCCCCGUUGUCGCCGCGACGAGACAUGGAGCUCGUCUUGUGGUUGUAGCAGGCGGCGCAGCGAGACAGGCCGAGGCACUCGGGGCCUGACCUGGACUGAACCCAGAGGGGAGACGAGCAGAAAUGUCAAGACUGUAAAUCACUUCUUCAUCCAGUUGACUUUAACUUACCCAUUCUCCCACUCUCUCCUCGUCGGGGCCAGGACACAGAGCGACUGUCGACAGCUGCUCAUCCCGUUCCUGCAGUCGCUCACGUAGACGGGCGGCCACACCCACCUACAUCUGAACAGCCAAUCAGAGUGAUCUCUGUCUUCAACAAUUUCGACGGUGUGGAACACGGCGCCAAGACUUGGGAAUUAUCUACACUUAUCGACGUUCCGACGAGUUCCAACAGCCGACUGUGGAGGUCCAGAAGAGAAAAUGCUCCAGGGAAAGAAAAGUGAGUUCUUGAACAUGUGGAAAAGGCAGAAAAUACUUUAGAAGAAGAAGCUUUUGUGUCACACCCGCUGGAUAUCAACGUCCCCAGCAGGAUAUCCACACUGCAAAACUCUCUGUACAUUCUCAGGUCGAUUUAAAAAAACAGUGAACAGUCGACCCCCGACAUCUAAACUGUCCAGAAAACAGUAAUUCAGUCAGUGAUAUUCUAACGCUCUGCCAGGAAGAUGAACCAGGGUUGACUGCAGUAACUGUAGCUGCAAUUUUUCUUCCACUGGUUUCUUCACAGAUUUCUCCAGAAUCUGAGCUUCUGGUCACAGUCUGUAUCGACUCUAGCGUGAGUCCAGAGUAAAGUUUACGUGUCGUACACUUUGUCCCUCACACGUCUCUGCAGGUUCAACUUCCCCUUCUCUCUCUCUCUCUCUCUCUGUCUUUUCGUGUGUCUCCAGUGUGUAGUGCUGUAUAACUUAAAGAAAAAAUAUUCACGAUUUCUAAAGUGCACAUGUGGAAAAAGACGGACUCUCCUUGAAGUCAAUUCGUCCCCGUCUGUAACUGACAUCUGUCGCGUUAUGUUCUCGUCUCACAGAGUCCGGAGCUCAGCAGGUUUUCAGACGGACAAGUCGGUGUCUGUGUCGGUGGCCGCGUUCUUCGGGCUCGCUCGGCCUCCUCUCUCCUCUGGGAUGGAGGACGGGUCGCCGUUCAGACUGGUCAGCACACCUGGAACACACAUGGAAUUUCACAGAUGAGUUGACUUUAUUCACUGAUGUUCAAAUUCAGAUUCAAGUCACCAUUUUUUUUUUGACCAAAUGACCAGGAUGUGUCGUACAUAUAGAAAAUAUAAAGUGAGUUUCCAUCCACCUGCUUUUAAACACACUUUCAAUUUAGAAAUAAAGAAAAAAGAAACGCAAAAUGAAAUGUCACUUUUUGUAUAUGUAUUGUACACUAUAAAAAAUACCGGCAUGUCUUACGUUCGGCGUCAUAAACAGAGCUGUCCGAGAAUGUCCGGUUCCGGCGCUGAGUUGACCUUUGACCUCCACUCACGUACUCCUUCAGCACACCUGACCUGAGAGAAGAAGAGCUAUUCUUUGCAGAGAAUCCAAGAUAACAUGAUACAAAAACUCCACAGAACAUACAUGUUGCUGUUUUUGUUUUCUUACUAAAACACAAACGUCUGAUUCCUGUGAUAUUAAAAUCUUGUUGUUUACUGGUCUUGUUUAAGGCGAACACCAUUUUUUCCCAAUGGUAGUUUGGUUAGUCACUGCGUUGUAAUGCUGCCGCCUAGAGGCCACAUUUUAUAUCAUUAUUAUUGUUCAUAAUUCAAGGAUUCUGUUCUGAAGUCAAUUUGAAGUUUACAUCAACAGAGAUGUCUUUUUAUUUUGGGGUAAUAUUACGUUGUCGAAGUUUUCCCUUUUUUUUAAUUGGUACUGUUAUUAAACAUUUUUUUCAGUUUUUGUUUGUUCUAUCCUGUUCAGUAAAGCACUUUGGGCAUCAUCUUUACCUGAAAGCUGCAAUACAAAUACGAGUUAUUGAUUCUAAGGGGCACAUCUGUGUCCCGGCUCACCUGUCGAAGCUGUAGGUUCCAGGGUGACUGAUGGACCUCUUCAUCUGGGCCGACGCACAGAGACCAGAAAUCUUUUUUUUAAAAACUUGACUAAAUACUAACAACAAAAUCAUCCAACUUUUGUAAAGCUCUAAUUUAAAUGUGUCAUAUGUAAAGUUGUACUUUUUGUCAAGAACACGUCCCUGGUUACAUUUGUUUCACGUCUGUGGUCUGUUUUUACCGCUGUGUGUAAUUACAAAAUAAAACUUGGAGGAAGAGUAACUACCUUUUCUGGCGGUCGGAGGUCAGGGGUCAGACUCUGGUUAGCCAGGUUCAUACACUCCUCCAACGUCCUGAUGAAAGUCGCGCAGGUCGCACUGAGGAGCGAGGCCUGGAGAACGAAAAAACAAUGAUCAUCCGUACUUGUAUCAUCUGUCCUCCCUAAGAUUAAAGUGCAAAUGAAGAAG